This 475-nucleotide ribosomal RNA is filed under the name uncultured bacterium. RNAcentral describes it as "bacterial SSU rRNA". It matches the Rfam family "Bacterial small subunit ribosomal RNA", at positions 26 to 507 of the family's 1533-position model. The record is from RNAcentral.
AGGACGAACGCUGGCGGCGCGCCUAACACAUGCAAGUCGAACGGAGUUGAGAGGAGCUUGCUUUUCUUAACUUAGUGGCGAACGGGUGAGUAACGCGUGAGUAACCUGCCCUGGAGUGGGGGACAACAUUUGGAAACAGAUGCUAAUACCGCAUAACAACAAAAACCACAUGGCUUUUGUUUGAAAGAUGGCUUUGGCUAUCACUCUGGGAUGGACCUGCGGUGCAUUAGCUAGUUGGUAAGGUAACGGCUUACCAAGGCGAUGAUGCAUAGCCGAGUUGAGAGACUGAUCGGCCACAAUGGAACUGAGACACGGUCCAUACUCCUACGGGAGGCAGCAGUGGGGAAUAUUGCACAAUGGGGGAAACCCUGAUGCAGCAACGCCGCGUGAGUGAAGAAGUAUUUCGGUAUGUAAAGCUCUAUCAGCAGGGAAGAAAAUGACGGUACCUGACUAAGAAGCCCCGGCUAACUACGUG